GAGACCUCAGGUCAGGCGGGGCUACCCGCUGAGUUAAG
RNAcentral lists this ribosomal RNA (38 nucleotides) under Gompholobium obcordatum. RNAcentral describes it as "partial 26S ribosomal RNA". Lineage: Eukaryota; Viridiplantae; Streptophyta; Magnoliopsida; Fabales; Fabaceae. The record is from RNAcentral.